RNAcentral lists this transfer RNA (73 nucleotides) under Ursus americanus (American black bear). It matches the Rfam family "tRNA". From Rfam's summary of the family: Transfer RNA (tRNA) molecules are approximately 80 nucleotides in length. Their secondary structure includes four short double-helical elements and three loops (D, anti-codon, and T loops). RNAcentral also lists the same sequence under 2 other names. Lineage: Eukaryota; Metazoa; Chordata; Mammalia; Carnivora; Ursidae. The record is from Rfam by way of RNAcentral.
ACCUGGCUGGCUCAGUCCGUAGAGCAUGUGAUUCUUGAUCUCAGGGUCAUGAGUUCAAGCCCCAUGUUGGGCA